Molecule: microRNA precursor, 64 nt
Organism: Gorilla gorilla gorilla (western lowland gorilla)
Lineage: Eukaryota; Metazoa; Chordata; Mammalia; Primates; Hominidae
Source: Ensembl
AGGUUAGUGCAAAAGUAAUUGCAGUUUUGCCAUCACUUUCAAUGGCCAAAACUGCAAUUACUUU